GACGAACGCUGGCGGCGUGCUUAACACAUGCAAGUCGAACGAAGAGCGAUGGAAGCUUGCUUCUAUCAAUCUUAGUGGCGAACGGGUGAGUAACGCGUAAUCAACCUGCCCUUCAGAGGGGGACAACAGUUGGAAACGACUGCUAAUACCGCAUACGAUCUAAACUCGGCAUCGAGGAUAGAUGAAAGGUGGCCUCUACAUGUAAGCUAUCACUGAAGGAGGGGAUUGCGUCUGAUUAGCUAGUUGGAGGGGUAACGGCCCACCAAGGCGAUGAUCAGUAGCCGGCCGGAGAGGAUGAACGGCCACAUUGGGACUGAGACACGGCCCAGACUCCUACGGGAGGCAGCAGUGGGGAAUCUUCCGCAAUGGACGAAAGUCUGACGGAGCAACGCCGCGUGAGUGAGGACGGCCUUCGGGUUGUAAAGCUCUGUUAAUCGGGACGAAAGGCCUUCUUGCGAAUAGUGAGAAGGAUUGACGGUACCGGAAUAGAAAGCCACGGCUAACUACGUG
RNAcentral lists this ribosomal RNA (510 nucleotides) under uncultured bacterium. RNAcentral describes it as "partial 16S ribosomal RNA". It matches the Rfam family "Bacterial small subunit ribosomal RNA", at positions 28 to 507 of the family's 1533-position model. The record is from RNAcentral.